Molecule: ribosomal RNA, 941 nt
Filed under: Fomitopsis nigra
Lineage: Eukaryota; Fungi; Basidiomycota; Agaricomycetes; Polyporales; Fomitopsidaceae
Description: partial large subunit ribosomal RNA
Rfam family: Eukaryotic large subunit ribosomal RNA
Source: RNAcentral
UAAGCAUAUCAAUAAGCGGAGGAAAAGAAACUAACAAGGAUUCCCCUAGUAACUGCGAGUGAAGCGGGAAAAGCUCAAAUUUAAAAUCUGGCGGUCUUUGGCCGUCCGAGUUGUAGUCUGGAGAAGUGCUUUCCGCGCUGGACCGUGUACAAGUCUCUUGGAACAGAGCGUCAUAGAGGGUGAGAAUCCCGUCUUUGAUACGGACUACCGGUGCUUUGUGAUGCGCUCUCAAAGAGUCGAGUUGUUUGGGAAUGCAGCUCAAAAUGGGUGGUAAAUUCCAUCUAAAGCUAAAUAUUGGCGAGAGACCGAUAGCGAACAAGUACCGUGAGGGAAAGAUGAAAAGCACUUUGGAAAGAGAGUUAAACAGUACGUGAAAUUGCUGAAAGGGAAACGCUUGAAGUCAGUCGCGUUGGCCAGGACUCAGCCUUGCUUUUGCUUGGUGCAUUUUCUGGUUGACGGGCCAGCAUCGAUUUUGACCGCUGGAAAAAGGCUGGAGGAAUGUGGCACCCUCGGGUGUGUUAUAGCCUUCAGUCACAUACGGCGGUUGGGAUCGAGGAUCGCAGCACGCCUUUAUGGCCGGGGUUCGCCCACGUUCGUGCUUAGGAUGCUGGCGUAAUGGCUUUAAACGACCCGUCUUGAAACACGGACCAAGGAGUCUAACAUGCCUGCGAGUGUUUGGGUGGAAAACCCGAGUGCGUAAUGAAAGUGAAAGUUGAGAUCCUUGUCGCGGGGAGCAUCGACGCCCGGACCUGAACUUUGGUGAUGGAUCUGCGGUAGAGCAUGUAUGUUGGGACCCGAAAGAUGGUGAACUAUGCCUGAAUAGGGUGAAGCCAGAGGAAACUCUGGUGGAGGCUCGUAGCGAUUCUGACGUGCAAAUCGAUCGUCAAAUUUGGGUAUAGGGGCGAAAGACUAAUCGAACCAUCUAGUAGCUGGUUCCUGCC